This 27-nucleotide non-coding RNA is filed under the name Mus musculus (house mouse). Lineage: Eukaryota; Metazoa; Chordata; Mammalia; Rodentia; Muridae. RNAcentral also lists the same sequence under 1 other name. The record is from RNAcentral.
UGAAACCAGCCAGACUAGUCUCAGAUG